Molecule: ribosomal RNA, 399 nt
Filed under: uncultured bacterium
Lineage: Bacteria
Description: bacterial SSU rRNA
Rfam family: Bacterial small subunit ribosomal RNA
Source: RNAcentral
CAGGACUUGACAUCCCUCUGAAACUCCUGAUAACGAUGGAGCCUCCUUCGGGACAGAGGUGACAGGUGGUGCAUGGUUGUCGUCAGCUCGUGUCGUGAGAUGUUGGGUUAAGUCCCGCAACGAGCGCAACCCUUGCUGUUAGUUGCCAUCAUUAAGUUGGGCACUCUAACGGGACUGCCGGGGAUAACUCGGAGGAAGGUGGGGAUGACGUCAAAUCAUCAUGCCCUUUAUGUUUUGGGCUACACACGUGCUCCAAUGGUCGGUACAAAGAGCAGCAAGACCGUGAGGUGGAGCAAAUCUCAAAAACCGAUCCCAGUUCGGAUUGUAGGCUGCAACUCGCCUACAUGAAGUUGGAGUUGCUAGUAAUCGCGAUCAGAAUGCCGCGGUGAAUGCGUUCCC